Molecule: ribosomal RNA, 487 nt
Filed under: uncultured bacterium
Lineage: Bacteria
Description: bacterial SSU rRNA
Rfam family: Bacterial small subunit ribosomal RNA
Source: RNAcentral
AUUGAACGCUGGCGGCAUGCUUUACACAUGCAAGUCGAACGGCAGCACGGGGGCAACCCUGGUGGCGAGUGGCGAACGGGUGAGUAAAGCAUCGGAACGUGCCCUGGAGUGGGGGAUAACGUAGCGAAAGUUACGCUAAUACCGCAUAUUCUGUGAGCAGGAAAGCAGGGGAUCGCAAGACCUUGCGCUCUGGGAGCGGCCGAUGUCGGAUUAGCUAGUUGGUGGGGUAAAGGCUUACCAAGGCGACGAUCCGUAGCGGGUCUGAGAGGAUGAUCCGCCACACUGGGACUGAGACACGGCCCAGACUCCUACGGGAGGCAGCAGUGGGGAAUAUUGGACAAUGGGCGCAAGCCUGAUCCAGCCAUGCCGCGUGUGUGAAGAAGGCCUUUUGGUUGUAAAGCACUUUAAGCGAGGAGGAGGCUACCUGGAUUAAUACUCUGGGAUAGUGGACGUUACUCGCAGAAUAAGCACCGGCUAACUCUGUGCC